CGCCUGACCAGCGUAACGGGUCAAACACACGAGGAGCGACCUCGUACAAAAAGCGUA
This 57-nucleotide non-coding RNA is filed under the name unclassified sequences. RNAcentral describes it as "GP20-b RNA". It matches the Rfam family "GP20-b RNA". The record is from RNAcentral.